Molecule: transfer RNA, 74 nt
Filed under: Nephromyces sp. ex Molgula occidentalis
Lineage: Eukaryota; Apicomplexa; Aconoidasida; Nephromycida
Description: tRNA-Glu
Source: RNAcentral
ACCAAUCGGUUAAAAGCCGAUUACUCUUCCAUUAAGCUAGUAUUCCGUUAUAUAAUAAUAUAUUAAUUAUAUUA